RNAcentral lists this non-coding RNA (1228 nucleotides) under Hemimycena mairei. RNAcentral describes it as "LSU rRNA". It matches the Rfam family "Eukaryotic large subunit ribosomal RNA", at positions 139 to 1630 of the family's 3401-position model. Lineage: Eukaryota; Fungi; Basidiomycota; Agaricomycetes; Agaricales; Mycenaceae. The record is from RNAcentral.
CGAGUUGUAAUUUAGAGAAGUGUUAUCCGCGUUGGACCGUGUACAAGUUUCCUGGAAUGGAGCUAUCAUAGAGGGUGAGAAUCCCGUACAUGACACGGACUACCAAGGCUUUGUGAUGCGCUCUCGAAGAGUCGAGUUGUUUGGGAAUGCAGCUCAAAAUGGGUGGUAAAUUCCAUCUAAAGCUAAAUAUUGGCGAGAGACCGAUAGCGAACAAGUACCGUGAGGGAAAGAUGAAAAGAACUUUGGAAAGAGAGUUAAACAGUACGUGAAAUUGCUGAAAGGGAAACGCUUGAAGUCAGUCGCGUUGUCUGGGGAUCAACCUUGCUCUUUUGCUUGGUGUACUUCCUAGUUGACGGGUCAACAUCAGUUUUGACUGUUGGAUAAAGGUUGAGGGAAUGUGGCAUCCUCGGAUGUGUUAUAGCCCUUGAUUGUAUACAAUGGUUGGGACUGAGGAACUCAGCACGCCGCAAGGCCGGGUUUUUAACCACGUUCGUGCUUAGGAUGUUGGCAUAAUGGCUUUAAUCGACCCGUCUUGAAACACGGACCAAGGAGUCUAACAUGCCUGCGAGUAUUUGGGUGGAAAACCCGAGUGCGUAAUGAAAGUGAAAGUUGAGAUCUCUGUCGUGGAGAGCAUCGACGCCCGGACCAGACCUUUUGUGACGGCUCCGCGGUAGAGCAUGUAUGUUGGGACCCGAAAGAUGGUGAACUAUGCCUGAAUAGGGUGAAGCCAGAGGAAACUCUGGUGGAGGCUCGUAGCGAUUCUGACGUGCAAAUCGAUCGUCGAAUUUGGGGUAUAGGGGGCGAAAGACUAAUCGAACCAUCUUAUUUUGCUACUUGGUGGUUAAGAGGCAACUAAAAGGGUUAGCCUAGUAAGAGUUGAGGAUUGCAACAUUGUCAAAUUGCGGGGACGUUCUUAGAGCCCUUGCUACCGCCUCUACAUGGGAAACCAUAGUAGUAGUGCACCAGGGUAAUGACCUCGGGUAUGGUAAAAACGCAAAGGAUUGGACAAUCCGCAGCCAAGUCCUAAAAGCUAGUAGUAAUACUUACUAGUUCACGGAUGCAGUUCACAGACUAAAUGGCAAUGGGUAUAGCAUUUCAAAGUGCUAUGCUUAAGAUAUAGUCGGUCCCGUUGCGAAAGCAAACCAAUGAAUGUGGUCUAGUGUUCCUCAACUUUAAGACACUGUUCCCCGAGUCAUUGGGAAGGUAAUACUUGUUUUGUUACUUGGAA